GUUUUAACAGCUCAUCAUCUAUCGUUGUUCCUAAGAAAACUCUCUUUUAACGCUUUGGAAAUCAUCAAUAGAAUCACAAAUUAAACAAAAUUCAUAUUGACACGUCUACAGAUCGGUGCUGCAAGGAAACUCUAAAGUGUCCGAAACCCAAAAUAAGUAUGUAUAAGUCUAAUCAAGAGCAAGCUUCAUAUCUGACUUCCAACCAAAAAGAUUGCCAUAGUGUCAUGCCGACAAACAAGUGCAUCAUCAUUCAAACUACAUGUUCUGAAAGCUAGCAAACAAAGACAUGGCGUCAUAUAACAAACAAACACGGCAGUAGGUUUACCCAUGUAUGAGUACGGA
This 342-nucleotide long non-coding RNA is filed under the name Mytilus galloprovincialis (Mediterranean mussel). Lineage: Eukaryota; Metazoa; Mollusca; Bivalvia; Mytilida; Mytilidae. The record is from RNAcentral.